This 255-nucleotide ribosomal RNA is filed under the name uncultured bacterium. RNAcentral's name for it is "partial 16S ribosomal RNA". It matches the Rfam family "Bacterial small subunit ribosomal RNA", at positions 524 to 776 of the family's 1533-position model. The record is from RNAcentral.
UACAGAGGUCCCGAGCGUUUGUUCGGAUUCACUGGGCGUAAAGGGUGCGUAGGUGGUGAGGUAAGUCGGAUGUGAAAUCUCCGAGCUCAACUCGGAAAUGGCAUUGGAAACUACCUUGCUUGAGGGUUGGAGGGGGGACUGGAAUACUUGGUGUAGCAGUGAAAUGCGUAGAUAUCAAGUGGAACACCAGUGGCGAAGGCGAGUCCCUGGACAACUCCUGACACUGAGGCACGAAAGCUAGGGGGAGCAAACAGG